Molecule: long non-coding RNA, 563 nt
Filed under: Mytilus galloprovincialis (Mediterranean mussel)
Lineage: Eukaryota; Metazoa; Mollusca; Bivalvia; Mytilida; Mytilidae
Source: RNAcentral
CGAACUUUACAAUGUCAGACAUUUCAAAAUUAAUCUUUAGAAGAUUGUUCACAUCAUGGUUGGUCGUUAUACGCCAAAGAAUUAGUACUUUGAGCGCAGCUUCCAUUCAAUACGACGAAAGCAAGCGAUCCAUGGUAAAAAAGACAUUUAAAGGGCACAUAUUUAUCUUUCGUCUGACAGCACGUAUACACCGCAGUUAUCGUAAAUUAUAUAAACAUAUAAAAAAAAAAAAAAAAAAACAUUAUUUUUUUAAGACAAAACAGAGAAAAGAACUGAUAAGUGCGGGUAUUCCAUGCGCCUUGCCUCCUUUAUGUUUCGAUAUUUUAGAAAUUAAUUAUUCUUUUAUCUAUUAUAACACGUGAAAACUACACCAGUGAGUUCCAUAUAUGUCUUCAACUUACAGCUGGUCCUGAAAAUGCAUGAAAUAUUUGCCACUGGACUUUUAACAACCAACAAUCAAUCACACUACAACUUAAAGUAUAUAUAGUAGUGAAAUACAAAAUGAAUAUUAUAAUGAUACAAUUAGCAAAAUAAAUAGAAUACAAAUACACACUACUUUAUUU